GGAUCGCAGGAGGCCCCCCUGGCCUUGCGCUUAGAGACCAGCAGGAAUGUGAGCUAUCAGAACGGGGAAGCAGCUGGGGAACAUCCUGGAAGUGGCAGUGAGUGCUGCCAGCCUUGUUAGAGCACCUGGGCUGAUUGCAGUUCGUGUCCAAGAACUUGGAACACAGCAGAGAAGUCUUCCACAGAAACCAGAUCCAUGCUAUAAUGACUUAAAUCGUCCCUUCAGAAGAAACACUAAUGAGACUCCUCACACUUUGCUGAUGUUCCUGUUGGAAGAAUAAUUAUCAUCUCCUUCUGAAAUCAGUAAUGAAAGUACUAGUAUUCAAACUGUGGUGCUUAAAUGUUCAAGAUUAGAGUCACAGGUUAGAUUACAUUCAGUCAUUUUGCUGCUGAACAGAGCUGUUGUCAAUUGUCAGUCUCAGGUUGUUUCAUGGUGUGGAAGAAGAGUUAGACAUUUAAGAAGGAUGUUGUCAGAAGAACAAAAAAAGCUAAUGUUGCUGGUGGGGAAAAAAAUUGGUGAAAAGUGUGAGUUUUGUUUUUUAUUACAGGUGAUGGAAAUGAGAUAGCUUCAUACCCAAACCCGGUAUCUAUAUGUUGUCCUGACUUGUGAGGAUGCCCUGAAGUCUGUGUGCCUGAACUUUUGAGCUCUGCUUAGGCAGUUUUUGUUUUCUCUUGAAGGUUUUUAGGGGAAUAGUAUGAGCUGUUGUUGCUUUGCCUGCCUGGUGAAUAAUUUGGACAUCCUGGCAGGACAAUGUCUGGGAGCACCAACUUAGCUUUUAGAGUGCCAACAGCUCUUGACAUGUACGUACAGUUUGGGAUUGCACUGUUAAAAUGCAAGUGGAUGCCCAGAAUACAGAUGCUGAAGAAAGAGUUCUGAUAUUCAAAAUCUGUAGGAAUUUAUGAAAGCUUGUAAAAGUUGUCCAGUCACGGAAAUGUAGAAGUGCUUUGUGGAUUUUAUUGGUAGAAACUUGAGUCCAAUGUGAAAUCUAAUGAUUAAGUCCUUUGCAAGUUUAUUUUGCUACUAGGCGGGUAAAGAAUUUAUAUUUUUUGAUUUAUAGAUUCCCAAGGGACUGUUAGCUUGAAAAGAAGAGUUCAUGUCAUAAUUGACUGAGGCAAAGAACAAGCAUCAGUUUAGGAUAAUUUAACUGAUAGAUGAUUUACAUGAUCCCAGCCAGUUGUUUGAGUAGGUAGUGAUAUAAAUAAUAUAAGGAAUACCUUUGGCAAAAAGUUGUGCUGGCAUCCAAGGGCAAGUGUUUGAGCCCUAGAUUUAACAAUUUGGAUGGAAUAUGAUAUUCAAAUUUGAAUGCAGAGUUCUAAACUAAACAUUAUUUAGACUUGACAGCUCCUAAUGUUCUGAUCUCUAUAUAUGCUUUUUAGAAAUAGAUGUUGUGAACGAUGGAACUGUGCUGAAGCUGUGUGAGCAGGCACCAUCUAGUAUAAUCCUUGAAAUAAAUGUGUAAAGUCUUCUGGAUAGUUAAGUUUCUUGCAACUGUUCUGUAUAACUGGAGUUUUUUUAGAAUUAUCUGCAAAUGCUUGAGACUUUUAAACAUGAGAGUGUGACCUCCAGUGGGAGCAUCUCCUGUAUCUUUGAACUUCAGGAGCUGUGCAUGCUAAAAACUUAAGUAGGCGCAAAAAAAGAUAGGGCAAAUUAAAGAAAGUAAAGUGUAAGAUACAAUCAUUAUGUUAAAUCUUGAGCCACAGGAAACUAGAGAUUGGGAUUAUAACUGUGUUCAUGUCCUUUUCUGUGCAUUCACUUUUGAUCAAUGUUGAAGAGCAGGAUCCUGGGCUUGAAACUUAAAAUAAUUCUUACAAAUUGUAACUUAAUUGCAAAUGCUGGAAGUGUCUUCUGGCCUUUCAUGAACUCUGGGAAAACCUCAGGACACUUUCUGCCUUUCCUGUGAUCUAGCUAGGGCGGACCAGCAAGAUCUGGGUAUAGUUAUCAUAACAGGAGUGUUUGUUGACUUAGCUUGACAGUCAGGAAUGGCUAGUUGUUCAGAAGUGGGAAGAGCA
Nothoprocta perdicaria is the source of this 2009-nucleotide long non-coding RNA. RefSeq lists it as uncharacterized. The transcript is spliced from 2 exons. The record is from RefSeq and is a predicted model, not a curated record. Lineage: Eukaryota; Metazoa; Chordata; Aves; Tinamiformes; Tinamidae.